UCUGGUUGGUGCCUGCUGCAGAUUUUCCAUGUAGAAGGAAUCAGCGAUGAAUCACAGUUUAUCCUCAUAACCGCCCUGGGAGGCGAGGGCAGUUAUCGCUUCUACAGAUGAGCAAAAAGAAGGUUGGAGACGCUCGGUCACUCAUCCCCGUCUUGGAGCUGGUGAGUGGAAGGUACUCCUGGAGAGAGCUGCUCACAGAUCCCCAGGGAGAUCAUGUCAAAGAAAAAGAAAACAGAGCUCACUGCAACAGUCCAGUCGCCUUGCAGAGGAGGGGCACCGAGAAGGAGACAAGGAAGGAUUUACUCAGACCUCUACUUAUUAGGCUUGGUAAGAUCAAAGAUGUAAAAUUUUGCCAGCUUUUAUUCUUAUAGUCAUUCUUUUAUUCUAUGAUUUAUUUACUUAUUAACUUGAUUGACAGAUAUUAAUUGAGCCUCUACCAGGUGCCUUGCUGAGAAUACAGUGGUGAGCAAAUCAGAUUGGCCCUGUGACAACUCCUAGAGAGGGAGAUGUUGAACACACACACACACACACACACACACUCACACACACACACUCACACACACACACUCACACACACUUUAAUUAUGCUAUGGAUAACUGCUUCAAGAGACAAUCUACUCUGAAGAGUCAGGAAAGAGUUCCCAGGGAAAGGAAUACUUACUGGAUCCCAGCGGAAGAGCAGGAGGCAUCCAGCCAAGCAGAUGGCAGGGGCAGGAGGAGUGUCACUGGGCUAGAGUCAGCAGAGCAGGAUCAGUGAGCUGCCUGGGUGUACCUCUAGCCCAUUGUCUGUAUUUAUAAAGUAUUAUUAGAACAGAGCCACACUCUUUGUUCAACAGUGUCUGCAAUCAUUUUUGUGCUGUAAUAGCCACAUUGAAAAGCCGUGACAGAGAUCUUGUGGGCCACUCAGCCUAAAAUGUUUACUGUCGGGUCCUUCAGAGAGCAGUGUCCACAAUCCCAGCCCUGGAGAAUCUGGAAGAUGUGGCUGGGCCACCAGCAGGCCUCCGUGUGGCAGUCACUCCAGGAGAUUGGGACAGCUUCACUGGGCAGGCUACCAUGGGCAGCAUCAGAAGAAGAGGAGGGGACGGGAGACUGAAGGAGGGAGUUCCUGCCCUUCCCAAGCAGCAGGGGAGCCACAGAGGUUUGCAGCAGGCCAGUGAGGGGUCAGCUUCGUGUCUUUAAAAAGAUUCUCCUUCUUGGUUAGCAGCCCUAGCGCUCAGGUGCAGGCUUGCUUUCCUUGCCUUAUAGGAAUUACUCAGCAAACAAGUGAUACAACAUUAGUGUGAAGUUUAGGUGGAAUUUAGAUUUAAUGGGAAUAUAGUUACAUCACAAAAAGCCCUGGAUUAUUUCAUGUUUUUACCUCAAGCUAUUUGUUUUCAGAAAGCACUCUUUCUGUCUGCAGACGACUCUCCAUUGUGUUUCCCUUGGCUCCCCACAACGUUGCCCUUUUUAGUAGCGAUGCUCCAUUUCCACACUGGGCUCAAAGCAAAUUAUCUCUACAGAGGGAGGGGGUUCUCAUGACAAUUAAGUCUCACAUUCACAUUUUAAAUUCAACGUGCCAGAUUUCUUUUGUGGAUCCCAAUUCCCCUAUUGAAUUGGGCAUGAAUCAGAAAUGCAGACCCUCAGGAGGAAGUUUGGCUGGUUGGGUCCACAUGCUUAUUAGGAGUAAAUGGUGGGUGACAUUUAUGGGCAAGAAGAAUGGUGUUAGUUGCCUUCUUAAGCCAGGCUGUGCUGGCCAGAGUCCACGAGCACUCCAGUCUGACCAUCUGGUCAACCUGGAAAUUAGCUGCGAGUGCUGGGGCCAGCCCAGGGGCCAGGGAGCUGCUCUCUGCAUGCACACCUGCACAUGGCACACGCACAUGCACACGCACAUGCACAUGUGUGCGCACUCCUGCACCUACUCUUAAUUGCUCGUGUUUGGUGUGAGGGCUAAUUUGAUGUGCUACCUUAACUGGGCCUUGGAGACUGGGGAAACACUGGUACGUCUGGGAAGGUAUUUCCUGAUGAGUGUGGCCUGGACUCCAUAGAUGGAGUAAAGAGGAUUGCUCUCAGACGUGUGGGUCUCCUCCAAUCUGCUGAUGACCUGAAUAGAAUAAAAGGUAAGAAGGAACCUCACCUGCUGACUGUGCCCCCCAGGACAUGGGUCCUUCCUGACCUGGGACUCAGACUGAGACACCAACUCUACGAGGUCUUGAGUCUGCAGCUCUAUGUGGGCCCUAGUGGGUCUUCAGCUUGCUGACGUCAGGUCUUGGGACUGCUUGGCCUCUGUGAUUGCCAGACUCAAUUCCUUAGAAUUAGUCUCUCUCUUUACACACACGCAGACCACCCCCCCCUCCCCACAAUCCCUAGAGAACAGAAGCAACUGGACACAGACCUCCACAGCUGUAGAGAGUGGUUCGGAUGGGAGUGGCUGAAAGUUGUGAACUAUCACUGCACAUACGGUUUCAUUUCCUCAUAAAAUUGAUUUUGGUUUGGCACAUGUUAUUGCCAAAUUCCUGGAUUUAGGAGUUGCCAGAUCUUUACUUAAGACAAGUAAGAGCUCAGGAAAAUGUAAAACACAUUUGCUAUUAAUUCCUGGUGAGAGGAUGGGCACCUGACUCCCAGGAGGCUGGCAUGACACCUGGGCAUCCCUGAGCAGCUGUCAUUUCACCCUCCAGAUGGGCUUCAGGCUGGCUCCAGGAGUUUGUCACCCAUGUUCUAGUCCCUGGAACCUGCAAGCAUCACUUUACAGGGCAAGAGAGUCAUCCAGCCGGGGCUCAAGGGUCCUAAGUGCUUGUAUGAGAAUGAAGCAGGGGGGUGGGCAGCUGUUAUUGUCUGAGAGUGACUUAUCCCCCAGAAAGGUCAUGUGCCCAUGCAGGAGUAUUCAGAGCAGAAAUGAUUGGAACAGGAGAGCUGUGACCUAAUCAGUGGGCAGUGCCCUUGCUGGGUUAGUAACUGAAGGACCAUGGUGCCGAGUGGUAACUGUAGGCAGGUGGGGUGUGGCUGGAGGAGGUGGGUCACUGGGGGAGUGCUCUUGGGAAUUAUAUCUUGUCCCUGGAGCCUGGUGCUCUCUCUGCUUCCCCACUGCCAAGAGUUGAGACACUUUCCUCUUCCAUGAAUUCUACCACGAUGCUCUGCCCCAGCUGGGAGCAGAGUGAUGGCGUCGGUGACCAUGGACCCAGAUCUCUGAAACGUAUGCCCGAAGUAAACUUUUCCUCCUCUAAGUUAUUCUCAUCAGGCAUUUGGGUCACAGCAAUGAAAAGCUGCCAGCACACCUGGCUUGGUGCCAUAUACCUGCAAUCCCAGCCAUUUCAGAGGCUCAGGAGAGAGGAUCACAAAUUUGAGGCCAGUCUUGGCAAGGUAGCAAGACCUCUCUCAAAACAAAUCAUUUAAAAGACUAGGGAUGUAGCUUAGUGUUAGAGUCCUCCAGGUUCAAUCCUUAGUACUGCAAGAAAGAAAGAAAGAAAGGAAGGAAGGAAGGAAGGAAGGAAGGAAGGAAGGAAGGAAGGAAGGAAGGAAGGAAGGAAACAGAAAACCAAACUUGGCAGAGGGUUAUGAUGCAAACAGAAGAGGUCACAGGACCACGAAGUCCCUCAGGGAGGGUACUGGGGUGAGCCAGAGGCUGGUGGGAGGGACUGCUCCUGACCCCUCAGAGGGAGCACAGCCCUCCCUAUGCCUCUGUCUGUGUUUCUGGCCUCAGAUGUAUAGAAUAAAGGUCUGUGGGUUUUAUCGACCAAACCAUGGGGAUGAGUUGUUACAGACAGCAUCCUCAGGAAACAAGGACCCCGCCCUGACGUGUUCAUGGCCUCAGUGAACACACAGGUGUCUCGGUUCUCCAGGAGGAGGAAGGAGGCAGACGGAGUGACCACGUACCCAUGGGUAUGCACACACACACUGUCCGGUGCUCUCACCUGGGCAGAGGUGGCCGAGCAGGCAGGGCUACAGGAAGCUGUUAAGCCCCACUGAGGCUUCUUUGUGUGCCUGGAAGCCACCGACCACUUUCCUCUGCCCGAGGGAGUGAGCUGCUCUGUGGGUACCACUCUUAACUGACUCCAAGAGACAUCUGGGGUCAAGAGACAGGGUUGGCAAAGCUCUCAGGAAAGUCCAGAGCAGUGCUGCCCAACAGAAAUUCAACAUGAGCCACAUACAAAUAUAAAAACUAAGAAUUUCUAGAACCCACAUUUUAAAAUAAGGUGUAAUUGGUUUUAAUAAUAUAUUUUAUUAAACUCAAUGUAUCCAAAAUACUAUUAUUGCCAUGUGCAUCCUAUGUAAAAUCAUUAGUGAAAUGUCUUAUAUUCUUUGUUCUUGUGUUGUCUUGAAAAUUCCAUUCACAGUAGCCACAACUCAGUGCCCUCGGCUCCUGAGCUGGACUGUGUGAGGAGAGUCUUCAGGGAACUGAGGGGCUGGGUUGGGCGCAGGGGUCUGCUCCCUUCUCUCUAUGUCCUCUGACUGUGAUGUUGGCUGUGUGUGGUCCUCACAGUGAUCCCUUGCAAGCAUCCCAAGGAAGCAGGGCUGUGUGUGCAUUUAUGUGUGUGCUAUUGGGGCCAUGCAAAGAGAACUCUGGAAAAGGAGGGGCCUGAACGAGGAGGCCAAGCAGACCCUGCAGUUAAAGCCAUGGCCGUGAUCCAGAGAUCUGAAGACUCCUCCUGACAGCUCCAAGGGACUUCCUGGGGGCUGAGGAAUGGAUCUGGGUGGCGGUUCUGAGUUCUUAAGUCAAUCAUGGAAUCUUCUAGAACAAGAUCCCCCCGUGUUGCAUCAGUUAGUGGAAACACUGGAUAUUCCAGGCAAGAAGUAUCUUUUGAGUGACGAUGGGAGGAGGAAUUGGCUGGCUUCAUUUUGCAUGGAAAGUUAAUUGCUUUUGGAAAGUUGUUUUCAGUCACAUGAGGACCACACAGAGGAAAAAAAACACAACAACAACAACACUGCCUUCAGAUGGGAGAUUCGCCAACAGCAACAAUAGCCUCUGCCUUUCUGAGACUGAUGGACGUCGAGGGCAACCCAAGGCAGAGCCAUUGUUUACACUGACAGCUUAACAGCAGGCUUGAAGGGAGAAGGAGAUGGGGUGGCAGAGGGAAGCUGUAAACACUUAAUCCGUCACAGAGACUUCCAGGGAACCAGGCGCCAUGGAGCCAGACCGACCAAGCCCUUAAUUGUUGGGCAAUUCGCUGUCUCCACUGCCCUGGCCGCCCUCGUUAGAUGCCAGCACGGCGGAGCAUCCGACAAGGACCGCCAGCGCGGGGAGGGCUCACGGCUGUCGUGGUGGGAUCGGCUCCCUGGAGAUGGGAGACACAUGAUGGAUAUUCACCUGUCCUCGGUGCUUGUCUCAUUUAUUCAAAUUAACUAGUGCCCAGAGCUGCAAAGAAAUGGAUCUGAAUUCAGACAAAGAUGAAUUGCAGUAAAAAUGGAAAUUAAAACUCAGAAAACUAAUACCAUCAGGCCACUGGAAUUUUAUUAGCUAAUCAUGGCUAAGAUAUUGGACUUCUGAAAACGCUGCUUUGAUUGAAUUUUCACCUUGGAUCCACGAGGGCUUGUCAGGAUGGUGUCUGGUGAUGCAGGGAGGGAGUAGCGCAGACUGUAAUGAGCUGUUGAACGCCCUCUUUCCCUCACGGUUUAGGUUUUUGGCUCAAGUAUCAUAGACUUUUGGAAUUGACAGUGCUUGAAGUCAUAACUUUAGAAGCCACCCCAAGACCAAGGUCAGGCAUCAUCCAGGGUCCUCAGGAUUGGUCUCUCAGAUCGGGUACCACGGUGCUCUUGGGAUCCUGGCAGAGCACAGCUGGAGGAGGAGACAGCAAGACUAUGACCUGGGGGUGCUCUAGCAGCUACUGCCGGAGCCUUACCUCCUGAGGGCUCUGAUGGCUGGGGACUGGCUUCCCUGUGCCCACAUCGUCAGCACCUUGACUUUAGCACGCCUCUGAGUGACGUCAUCUGCACCACACCUGUAGCAUCGGAGCUGCUCUUGCCUCAAGGCCCCUGUGUCUCCAGGGAGGACCUUGCUGCCCUGGCUGCUCGGCCUGCACUCUGCCACCGUCUUCCCAUUUUAGCAAGGGGACAUCAGACUGUCCCUAUCAGUUCUCCUGAUCAGACAGCCCAGGACAGGGAGUGUCCCAUUUCCUGCCUACGGAUUCCCCAGUGGACGGACCAUGCCCAGGGCCUGCCCUCCACCCGGUAAUGCAGAAAUGGAGGAAGGGAAGGACCAACGGAUGAACCUUCUCCUGGAUUCCUGAAGGACAAUUCCAAGUGGUGUCCUACGUGUCUUUGGGAUGGUUCCAGGCCCGAUCAUGUCUCCAUUUUCCUUGGGGGGUGUUACAGUGUGGACAGGGUUUGUCUCUGCCAAAACUCACAGAAUUUAACUGCCAAGAUAAUGGUAUUGAGAGGUGGCAGGACACUGGAGGGGUGGUUAGGUCACAAGAGUCCACUCUCAUAGCUGAUUACUGUGGUUCUGGUGGAACUAGGUCAGUUCUGAUGAGAGCAGAUGUUCCAAAGCAGGUGGUCCCCUUUGCCCCCCCCCCCCUGCACAAAGCUGCUUGCCCUUCUGCUUUCCAACAGUGGUCCAAGAAAUACAGGUCCUGGCUGGUGCCAUGCUGUUGGACUUCCCAGCCUCUGGAACCGUGAGAGAAAUAAGCCUCUUCCCUUUAUAAACUUCCCCGUUUCGUGCGUUCUGUAGCAGUGAUAGAAAAUGGAGGAGGACAGGAGCAUCCUGAUGACAUGCCCUUAGGUCGGCUUCCCUGCCCUUCCCUGGCCUUCCACUCCAGGUUCGGGGGUCAUCUCCCAGGAGAAUCUAGCUGCACGUGAGUGCUUUACACAGUUGCCAUUUUGGGGGUAAUCUGAGAACGGGGAACCCAGGCUCUGCACCUGUUCAGGUCCCAGGUCUCAACAAAAGCACAGAAAACAAUGCUGGCUCAUAAUCAUGGCACUCUCUGUGACACCAGGUACCACGUGAAGUGCUCCUCGGGCAUUAUUGUAUUUAAUGCUCACAAGCAUCUUAUGUGGUAAUUACCAUCUUACUCCCAUGUCACAGAUGAGGAGACUGAGUCACGAGAGGGGAAGGAACUCUUCAGCCAAGUCACACGGCUGAGGUUUGGGGAAACUGGGGUUGUAAUUUAAGGAGGCAAUCUUCGGUUCCACUGCUUCCACAAUUAAUUAAUGCUUUGAGAUGGAUGGAUUUGAUUGUGCUCCUUGAACCUGUGAAUUGCUGAGCGGGGCUCUGGGACUCUCCAGCUCUGCCUGCCACUUGGAGAUAGAAGGAUCAGAAAAUGAGGGUGGUGGACCUAAAUUAAUAUGAAGAAGGGUCAGCCCUUAGCCAGUGCCCUUAGUCUUGUCAUUUUUUAGGGUAAUUGAAAAUGGAUUGAAACCUAGAGAGCCCAGACUCCCGCAGGAUGGGGCCUCCUCCUCAGGCAGCGUAUUAAAAGCCCCCCACCCCCGCAUUCUUUCCAUGUAACUUGAUAAUGCUGAUAAAAUCAUUUAUCAUCCCGCCAGCGGUGCUCUCCUAUUAGAGAAUGUAACUGCAGGCUCCGAAUCUGGCUGAUCCUGACAUGCUUUAAUUAGGGCUUAAAAAUACUGCUCGGGCUUCUCAGGCAAGGUGGGUGUGACUCUGCAAGGGUUUAACUCCUCCUUGCCCUGGCAGAGCAAGGCAGAGCAGAGGAAAAUUCUGCACCUUCACUGGAAAAUAGAAAGGCUGCCAUCCACAGGCUGCAAACGAGGAGGCGUUUCUCCGACAGCACCAAGAUGCGCAGGGCUGAGGGGCCCCGGACCCUGCUGUCGUAUCCCGUGUUUCUUGAAGUUCCGCCUGAGGGCUAAGCUGCAUAUUGAAUGUCUGAAUGUAGGUAUGCCCAGCCUGGGAGGGUGGCACCCCAGCCAGAAUGCUCGGGUGUCUGCAUCUUCCUGGUGCCCCCGGGGCUCCUGUGGGCACAGGACCAUCCUGAAUGCAGACGUGCGGAUUUCCUCAUUCCAUGGUGAGGUGAAAUGUGUGCACACACGUGCGGCGCGUGGAGAACCAAGACUUCCCAGCCGGUGUCCUGGGCUCCUCGUUCCUGCUGCUGUGCCUGGGACCCAGGACGACAGUGCUCACCACCCCUCCGGCCUCUGCAGCGGCUUCUCAGCCCUCUGCACCCAGUUCCAGGCAGGCUGGCGCUGGCGAGCCUGGCCCCGUGGGGCUGGGGGCUGCAGGCUUUUCAGCAGCGGGUUUGCCAGGUAUUCCUGGGGACACUGGUUCUGUCAGAGCAGCCUCGCGGGUUGGUAUCGCUUAGUGAAGGUCACGUGUUUCCUGGGGAGCUACAUAGUCCACCCGAUCUCCUUGUGCCUCGGUUCCCAGCACACCUAAAGUUCACACUGGAGUGGGAGGCAGAGUUCCCCUGCACCUGCCCAGGGCCUCCAACUGUGGCUUUGCCAGUCCGGGGUGCACAGGUCACAGCUGGGCAGAGGAGCACGCCUGACAACCCACAGGCGUGAUCAAGGAGAGGAAGCAGGGAGGGGGGUAGGACAGGAGAUGAAAGGGGGGCCAUUGUCAACCACACUCCCAGGGGACUGUCCAGUCCGUCUGUGUCAGGGCCGACGUCCUGCCUCGGGUUGAAGAUUUUAGUUUUCAUAGAUUGGUUUCGUGUCAGUUUCCUAUGUAUGAACCCUACUCCAACAACAAAGGUAGGUAUGACUCUUCUCAACCAUCUCAGUAUUUAUUCAUUCAAAAAAAUAUUCGUUGAGACCUACGCCUGCCGCUCUUCCCAUUUAGCUGUAGAGACGGAACACUGGCCUUCAGAAGGUUGACCCUGGCUUCACAUGGUGUUAUGUUCCCUGAUAGGACAAAACUCAGGACCUGAGUGAUCCGUGGUGUCACCUACAUCAAGAAAGAAAUAGUUUUGAAAGAGUGAUUGUUAUGGUAACAGAACAAAUCUUAGUAUUGUUUUUCUUGUUCUCUUGGUUUUAUAAAAGCAUAAUGUGCUACCUCCGAGGUCUCUAAACUUUAACGGAAUUUUUUUUUUUAGUAUUUUUCUCUCUCUAGAUCACUUGUCCUUACAUUAAUUAACACAAAUCUUAUUCUUUCAUAUCUUGAAUAGAACAUUCACACACAUUUAUAAUCACUGAAACACACAGCACUCUGUAAAUGGAUUGAGUGUGAAUGACGCACACGGCACACACCUGGCGUUUUCCCAGUGGGAACCGUGAGGUUUUGUUAGCCAAUUCCCAUGAUGUUGGAUGUAGAUCUCUUCAGUUUGGGUGUAAUCAGCUCAUGUCCAAGUUUUCGAGCACAGGACUGUGGUGUGGGCAUGUGGUGGAGUUGUCAGAUGCCCCGUCAAGCUGGGUCUGAUCCAGGGGCUGUGAAGAGCCCCUCCCCAGCCUGGCAGCGCCUCUGCCGUGACUCGCCGUGAUGUAUGGAGGUGCCACAGCUUGUUAUGUCACAUCCGUUGAUAACUGCGUGUAAUUAAUUUGAUGCCAUCUGAUGCGGCAGCAGGUUAGACAUUUACGACAUAAAAAGUUGUCCAUGCCCCACGGAGCACAUCUGUUUAAUGGCAUAAUUCAAAUUAAUUUCCAACAAUUCCAUAAGCGCUCCUGGAGCAGUUCCCCGACUGCCUGACGUGCCCGGCACUGCACGAGGCCCCGAGGGCAUUCACUGGCAGCUUGCAGUCUGUGCACGUGAAGCACAUUUUCCUUAAACUCAUACUUUUUAAUAAUUUUAGACCUUCAAUGGUACUGCAAAAAUACUACUCAGACUUUCUGAAUCCUUUCCCUGAGUCCCCAGGCAUUAGGAUCAUCCUUCUUCAGUGAGCUAACCCUCUGUUGAUGUGCCCGUCGACCACACACGGACCUUGCUCAGAGUCCACCCCUCAUCCCCAGAGCUCCUUUCCUGCUCCAGGACCCAGCCAGGGUCCCCCGUGGUGGUCCUUCCUUUCUCCUCUCAACUGGGUAUAGUUCUUCAGUUUCUGCUUCCCAUGACACCGAUGCUAUUUUUCAGAGUACUGUCUUGCUUUUUUUUUUUUUUAACAGAAUGUGCCCCAGUUUGGUUUCCCUGUUUUCUCAGUAGGUUAAGAUUAAGUGUUUUGGCAAGAACAUCACAAAUGUGCUGUUGUGUGUGCAGCGCACCCUUUUGGGGUAGAUGUGCUGGCAUGCUCCUUCCCUGCUAGGGUUAGCCCUGCCUACGUGACAAGGGUGGCACCUGCCAGGGUGCUCCACUGUUACUGCCUUUCCUUUGUAUUUAAUAAUCAUCUGUGGGGAGAUAAGAAUAUUCAAGGGCUGGGAUUGUGGCUUAGCAGUAGAGCGCUGGCCUAACACGUAUGAGGCCCUGGGUUCGAUCCUCAGCACCACAUAAAAAUAAAUAAAUAAAAUAAAGAUAUUGUUUCCAACUACAACUAAAAAAUAAUUAUUAAAAAAGAAUAUUCAAGUGUCUGGUUUCCUCAUUAGCCUUUUUGCCCACUGACAUCAGCACCCUUUGUACCGUGGGCUGGGCCGUGGCCAGGACUUGGGGUCUGCUUUCCACUCCUGUGUGUGCUAACUGGACUCUACGGUAAGGAGGGGCUCCGUGCCCACUCCAGUGUUCCUUUGUUUUGGCUUGGGCUGGUGGAUGUGCGUUUUGCUCUGCGGUGGGCACAGGCACCCUGCUCACCUGGGCACUCACCGCGGCCCCUAUUUGGCUCUCAAGAAGGCUGCUCGGACUCUGUCUUCUUACUUGGUUUCCUGGGAUGUUGUUCCUCCUCCUCUUCCUCCUCAUUCUAAUUUGUCACAAAGCUCCGUCACUUUCCAGCACUCACAUGAAGCAUGUUUUAAAAUUCCAAAUGCCAUGGCUGGUGCUUCUGUAGCUCGCAGUAAAUCAACAAGAGGCAAUCCUGCGUUUCUCUUGGAGUCUGCGUCAGAUAACGAUGACCCUAAAUACGUCACUAUAGUUUCUUAUUCGGUAAUUACUUUUAGCUGAGAGUAUUUUCUAUUGUUGUCCCACUUUGAAUAACAUGGAUUUUAGGCCGAAAGACUAUUUUCACAUCAUUUGCAUUCCCAGAACCUCUCAGAGUGCCUUUCACAAGCGGGUUUUCAAUGUGCAUGACAGGGCUCUGGAGGACCAGAGGAGGAAGCCGGUUGGUUAGUAGGUAUGUGCAGGCGGGUCCCUCUCUGCACUCCUGGUGUGGGCUGGCUGGAGUGUGGCUCUGGAGUCCCACUCUUGGGAAAGCGUCUCCCUCCUCAAUAUGCAGGCACAACACCUGGGAUCUUGUUCAGUAGCAGAUUCUGAUGCUGGGGGUCUAGGUGGGCCCCAGACUGUGCAUUCCUAACAAACUCCCAGAGGUGCAGAUUCUGUUGGUUGAGAACCACACUCUGGGUGGCCGGAUGUCAGGGCUCCAAACUGACCACCUCUACUACCUGCUGAUGAGGCCUCUUGCCUGUGUCACGUGUCCUCUUUUAACCAUAGUUUCAUGGUCUGUAAAAGGGGAAUGACCCGAGCAGCACCUCCUCCAGGGGGCUGCUGCAGUCUGCACGUGCUCAGCAACAGGGAGCCAGGGCUACCUGCUGAAGUCCACAUCACUAACAGCUGGCCUGAUUGGCUCUUUCCUUUCUCCUUCUUUCAGAUACUGCUCGGUCCUGGAAUUUGGGGGCUCACUAUUUAGUCCUGCAGAAGCAGAACCUCUCUGAGCCCAAAACCCCUGCCCUGGUUGAGCACCUGCUUGGAACUGUGGUCACAAAUCAGACACCUGUGCUGGUAGGAAGCAAGGUGAGGCUGUGCAGGAGAGGGGCCACCUGACCAGCCAGAGGGCAGUGGCUGGAAGUCAGCACAGAAGGGAGGACUCACCUGUUGUGUUUGCCGUGCUCCUUGGUGGUUUGAGGGAUGAGACUGGAGGCUGAAGAGCAGCGGGUCCCUCUCUGCACUCCUGGUGCCAGGCCCUGCCCCUGAGUGGGGCACUGGUUCUCACUGUGGAGACCCAGCAGGGAGGGGCAGCCAGUGGCCACUGCCCAGGACUGUGGGCUCCUCUCUGGCAGAGCAAAGGCUGCUCACUGUGAAGAACAGAAAGGACAUGGUGGCGGCCUCUGUGGCUAAUGCAUGCUGUUGCUGUGGCUUGGUCACGACUUUUCCUCUGUGAAACUCCUGUUGAAAUUUAACACCCUGGGACACAGUGAGAGGUGGCACCAGGUGGGACCUCAAGAGGUGGUUAGGGCUGUGCCCUCAUGAGUGGAUUAACCCAUGACGUGAUUAAUGGAUUAGUGGACGAUCUUGAGAGCAGGUCUGCUAUAAAAACCAACAUGGCUCGGCCACUGGCACCUCUCUCAGGUGUGAUGCACGGCACCACCGCCGUACUCCGCUGUCCACAAGCCAUCGCCAGAUGCAGCUCCUCAAGACCUUGGACCAGAACCAUGAGUCAAGGUAAAACCUCUUCUCUUCAUAACUUGCCCAUUCUGUCUCGUGUUAUUAGCAACAGAUAAUGGACUAAGGUACCUGGCUUUUGCCUAGGCGCCUCCUGGGUCCUUGCCUCCCGGGUGCUACCCUGGUGAGUGCUAGGCUUGUGGGUUGGCGGUAGAGACCUGCUCUGAGAUGAAGACACAUCCUGUUCAAAUCAUGUCGCACUAAACCACGUGGGGGCCACUCCUCCCCUCCGGCUGAGAACACUGCCUGCAUCCUGGUGUCUGCAGUGCACAGACACUAAUAACCAAUCACACACGUGUGUGGGGCACAGGCCAAGGAGCCUGGAUGAAUGGGUGGCCCUGUCUGAACCUGAGCUCAGGUGAGUGCUCUUGGGCACUGGGUUUUGCCACUAGUAAUGUUGAUGCAGUGUCCUGUCUCAGUGUCCUGCUCUGACAUGCUUGGUCUGCUGUCUGCUCUGUGUCCUGUUGUGUUUUCUGGCACCUACAGGACAGACGUGACACAGCCAACUCACUCAAUAUGGCAGCAGGUGUGGCAAACAGAGCAGGCGUUGGGGUGAAAUCAGGUUCAUCUUGGCUGUUGCUCUGGGACCAUCGGGGCAGGCCGUCUUCAGACUUGUCCCUUACCCUCUUGGAGCUGGGCUGUCCUCCUCUGCUGAUUGGGGGAUGUACUUGGUCCCUCAGGGAGCCACAGGGACCAAGAGCCAGUGUGCAGGAUCUCUCUACACAGAGGCUCGGGUCCGCGGGGCUAGUGCCCACGAGGCUCUGGCCCAUGAGGCCAUUCCCUCCAGUGCCUGUGGACAGAGGGUCUGCGUGCUGGACUUGGGCCUCAGGGAGGACAAGGCCUGGUCUCAAUCAGUGCUUCUCUAAGGGGCCCAAGGACCACAGGGAGGGGUGUCUGAGGCUGCACCCCGAGAGGUUGCCAGGUGUAGUGGACAGCAGGGGAGAGAUGAACAUUCCCCAUUUAUUAACUGAGCAAACAAUUCAGUUCCUGGAUUCAGGGACUCAGCAAGGAAGAGGACAAUUGAGGCUCUGACCUCUGGCAGUUUGUGCUUUAGGGCGCAAUAGGCAGUUAUCUAAUAGAGGCAGCUGCCUCAACCAGGGGACCCAAGAGGGUCAGGAGAGGCAUCUCUUAGGAUGGACCCUGACUAACGUGACCGCAGCCUGGGGAGCCAGCGAACGGGUGCUUCCCCCAGAGCCUGGGUUCAAGGCCAAGUGGGAAGCAGCUUGGGGUGCAGGGCCACCCUGUGCUCCCGUGGGUGCACACUCACCUGGCAACUGCUGCCACGUGGACGUCUGUUCCAUAUGUGGGUCACCUCUAGGCAAAGGCAGAGUGGCCCAGGGAAAAGGCUGUGGCCCCGGGCCUCAUGGAAGUGGGCACUUGCUGCCUCUUGGAGGACAAGUUACUUCCUUCUCUCAUUUAUUCAAAGCCUCAAUUUUUCAUCUAAGACGUGGGAGAACGUCCUCUUACACAGCUGUGAGGAGCAUCAUGACUCCCAGAACCUGCACAGUGCUCCGAGCACAGAACCUGCUGAAGUGUGCACACCGCUCGUCCACGCGCACUCGUGCCAUGUGCAUUUAAGGACUCAAACACGCGUGUGUGUGUCUUGUGCUGCCUGCACUCGGGUGCACCCUGCCACGCACUCUCAGCCCUGCAGCUGACGCACUUCUUGAACCACAGAUUCAAUUAGAAUUUAUGAAAGAAACAAGGCAAAGGAGACAAACAUUCAUUAAAAUCUGAUCAUUUCUUGUUUCCACUUAGGGCUGUUUUUUGGAGCCAUCUGGGAACAAUUUAUGGAAGCCAUAAUUGUGCAUUAAAUAUUACGAUUUGUUCCAGACUCCAUCUAUGAAGUAAACAGUGGAGAGAUUUACUGUACAGUCAGCACAUCGGGCAGCCCUGCAGCUUUUCUGCCUUAAACACUUCUUCGUCCCCACGGCUCCUUCUGGAACCCGUUGGACAAAUAGACGCGGGGCUUCGGCAGACAUACUGCGCAGGAGCCAGAUGGCCUGUGUGGCAGCACCUCUGUCCAGAGACCUCGGGGUGAGGUUCGUGGAGAGGGAUGUGCUGGUUUUAACUGGGUUGAGUGUCCCUGGGCCCCCUGGGGAGGCAGUGGCUGACCCUGGGGAAGAGGAGAGUGAAGAACAGUGUGGGAUUGCACCCCUAUAUCUCAACUGCCACCAGCAGGGGACUUACCUUCCAGGGCUUGGCUUCUGGGCAGCAGGUGGCUGCCCACUGCUCCAGGCGCCCUGAGCUGUGGGGACACGUGGAGGUGAGGCGGGGUAGAAGUGGGUCAGUCUCUGAGUGGUGUGGUUUGGCUGCACAGACGGCUGCUGGCCUGAGGUUCAGUGGGAGAGCUGUCUUCUCAGGUGAGCGCACAGGGAGAGUUGUGCCUGCUGAAAGGCAGGAUGAGGAAGGGGGGGUCUCGGGAACUUGGGAGAAGCGGCU
Molecule: long non-coding RNA, 14752 nt
Filed under: Marmota monax (woodchuck)
Lineage: Eukaryota; Metazoa; Chordata; Mammalia; Rodentia; Sciuridae
Source: RNAcentral